AGACCUCCCUUUCAGAUGCCCUUACCAGGAUGACCGUUACCUGACCACAUUGGUUCCAGUGACUGGAUCAUCAGGUCUUCACUUCCCAACCCACUACAAGCGCUUUAUUGUGAAGAUGUUCACAUUUGUGGAUCCAGAGUCACUGGCUCCUCUGCAGGAAACCAUCUUCAUCCACUGUAGUACUGCGGUGUGCCAUCCAUCUUCUGGCUCCUGUGAGCAAAGCUGCGGCAGGAAGAGAAGGGACACUCAUGUCAAGACCAUCUCUAGUGCGCAGACUGUGGUUUCUAGUGGAGGAGUUACUCUGAUCAUGUAAAUCUAGCGGUUUUAAUAAGCUUUUUGACGUGGCAAGGUAGCUUUGUCUGUUAUUGUAUUGACCUUGCAGAGUCUAAAGUUACGUACAUGUACCCAGUUUGUUUCUUGGUCUACACUAUUAAACUAACUUUCCAGUA
This is a long non-coding RNA of Sinocyclocheilus rhinocerous, 449 nucleotides long. RefSeq lists it as uncharacterized. The record is from RefSeq and is a predicted model, not a curated record. NCBI's taxonomy places the organism in Eukaryota, Metazoa, Chordata, Actinopteri, Cypriniformes, Cyprinidae. The transcript is spliced from 3 exons.